Molecule: transfer RNA, 69 nt
Filed under: Ictidomys tridecemlineatus (thirteen-lined ground squirrel)
Lineage: Eukaryota; Metazoa; Chordata; Mammalia; Rodentia; Sciuridae
Description: Spermophilus tridecemlineatus (thirteen-lined ground squirrel) tRNA
Rfam family: tRNA
About the family: Transfer RNA (tRNA) molecules are approximately 80 nucleotides in length. Their secondary structure includes four short double-helical elements and three loops (D, anti-codon, and T loops). Further hydrogen bonds mediate the characteristic L-shaped molecular structure. tRNAs have two regions of fundamental functional importance: the anti-codon, which is responsible for specific mRNA codon recognition, and the 3' end, to which the tRNAs corresponding amino acid is attached (by aminoacyl-tRNA synthetases). tRNAs cope with the degeneracy of the genetic code in two manners: having more than one tRNA (with a specific anti-codon) for a particular amino acid; and 'wobble' base-pairing, i.e. permitting non-standard base-pairing at the 3rd anti-codon position.
Source: Rfam by way of RNAcentral
GGGAUUGUGGCUCAGUGGUAGAGCUCCUGCCUCACACGUGUGAGGCACUGGGUUCGAUCCUCAGCACCA